UACGAAGGGGGCUAGCGUUGCUCGGAUUUACUGGGCGUAAAGGGCGCGUAGGCGGACAGUUUAGUCAGAGGUGAAAGCCCAGGGCUCAACCUUGGAAUUGCCUUUGAUACUGGCUGUCUUGAGUACGGGAGAGGUGAGUGGAACUCCGAGUGUAGAGGUGAAAUUCGUAGAUAUUCGGCGGAACACCAGUGGCGAAGGCGACUCACUGGCCCGAUACUGACGCUGAGGCGCGAAAGCGUGGGGAGCAAACAGG
Molecule: ribosomal RNA, 253 nt
Filed under: uncultured bacterium
Lineage: Bacteria
Description: partial 16S ribosomal RNA
Rfam family: Bacterial small subunit ribosomal RNA
Source: RNAcentral